GACGAACGCUGGCGGCGUGCUUAACACAUGCAAGUCGAACGGAAAGGCCCUGCUUUUGUGGGGUGCUCGAGUGGCGAACGGGUGAGUAACACGUGAGUAACCUGCCCUUGACUUUGGGAUAACUUCAGGAAACUGGGGCUAAUACCGGAUAGGAGCUCCUGCUGCAUGGUGGGGGUUGGAAAGUUUCGGCGGUUGGGGAUGGACUCGCGGCUUAUGAGCUUGUUGGUGGGGUAGUGGCUUACCAAGGCUUUGACGGGUAGCCCGCGUGAGAGGGUGACCGGCCACCAUGGGCCUGCGAGACGCCCCAGACUCCUACGGGACGCAGUAGUCGGGAAUAUUACACAAUGGCCGCAAGCCUGAUGCAGCAACGCCGCGUGCGGGAUGACGGCCUUCGAGUGGUAAACCGCUUUCGCCUGUGCCGAAGCGGGAGUGACGGUAAUGGGUAAAGAAGCACCGGCUAACUACGUG
This 468-nucleotide ribosomal RNA is filed under the name uncultured bacterium. RNAcentral describes it as "partial 16S ribosomal RNA". It matches the Rfam family "Bacterial small subunit ribosomal RNA", at positions 28 to 507 of the family's 1533-position model. The record is from RNAcentral.